GGGUGCGUAACGCGUAUGCAACCAACCCCUUUCCGGGGGACAGCCGGUGGAAACGCCGGGUAAUACCCCAUGGCAACGCAGGGAGACAUCUCCCGGCGUUGAAAGACUUCGGUCGGAGAGGGACGGGCAUGCGUCCCAUUAGCUAGUUGGCGGGGCAACGGCCCACCAAGGCGAUGAUGGGUAGGGGAUCUGAGAGGACGGUCCCCCACACUGGUACUGAGACACGGACCAGACUCCUACGGGAGGCAGCAGUAAGGAAUAUUGGGCAAUGGAGGCAACUCUGACCCAGCCAUGCCGCGUGAGGGAAUAAGGCCCUACGGGUCGUAAACCUCUUUUGCUCGGGGACAAGGACGGGAUCGAGAAUUCCGUUUGCGGGUACCGGGCGAAUAAGCAUCGGCUAACUCCGUGCCAGCAGCCGCGGUAAUACGGAGGAUGCGAGCGUUAUCCGGAUUCAUUGGGUUUAAAGGGUGCGCAGGCGGCCUGUUAAGUCAGCGGUGAAAGUCAGGGGCCCAACCCCGGAAGUGCCGUUGAUACUGACGGGCUUGAAUGCGGUCGAGGCGGGCGGAAUGUGGUGUGUAGCGGUGAAAUGCAUAGAUAUGCCACAGAACGCCGAUAGCGAA
This 620-nucleotide ribosomal RNA is filed under the name uncultured bacterium. RNAcentral describes it as "bacterial SSU rRNA". It matches the Rfam family "Bacterial small subunit ribosomal RNA", at positions 104 to 719 of the family's 1533-position model. The record is from RNAcentral.